This 1227-nucleotide ribosomal RNA is filed under the name metagenome. RNAcentral describes it as "bacterial LSU rRNA". It matches the Rfam family "Bacterial large subunit ribosomal RNA", at positions 1564 to 2800 of the family's 2925-position model. The record is from RNAcentral.
UGAAUACGAGAUGCUACGGCGUCGAAGCAGUGUAUGUCAGACUUCCAAGAAAAGCUCGCAAUGUCAUAAAUAAAGAAUGCCUGUACCAUAACCGACACAGGUGGGUAGGUAGAGUAUACUAAGGGGCGCGAGAUAACUCUCUCUAAGGAACUCGGCAAAAUAACUCCGUAACUUCGGGAGAAGGAGUGCCUUCUUUAAGAAGGUUGCAAUAACAAGAUCCAAGCAACUGUUUAUCAAAAACACAGGUCUCCGCUAAGUCGUAAGACGAUGUAUGGGGGCUGACGCCUGCCCAGUGCCAGAAGUUAAAGAAGCUGGUUAGCAAUAGCGAAGCUGGUGACUGAAGCCCUGGUGAACGGCGGCCGUAACAAUAACGGUCCUAAGGUAGCGAAAUUCCUUGUCGGGUAAGUUCCGACCCGCACGAAAGGCGUAAUGAUUUGGAUACUGUCUCGGAGAGGGACUCGGUGAAAUAGACUUGUCUGUGAAGAUGCGGACUACCUGCACCAGGACAGAAAGACCCUAUGAAGCUUUACUGUAACCUGAAAUUGAAAUUGGACUUUAUUUGCGCAGUAUAGGUGGGAGGCGUUGAAAGUAAUCUUGCGGGAUUAGUGGAGCCAUCAGUGAGAUACCACUCCUAUAAUGUUAGAUUUCUAACUUUGGAUCAUGAUCUGGUCAAAGAACAGUUUCAGGCGGGCAGUUUGACUGGGGCGGUCGCCUCCCAAAUGGUAACGGAGGCGUACAAAGGUUUCCUCUGAACGGGUAGAAAUCGUAUCUAGAGUGUAAAGGCAUAAGGAAGCUUGACUGUGAGACCUACAAGUCGAGCAGGGACGAAAGUCGGUCUUAGUGAUCUGACGGUGCUGAGUGGAAAGGCCGUCACUCAACGGAUAAAAGUUACUCUAAGGAUAACAGGCUGAUCUCCCCCAAGAGUUCACAUCGACGGGGAGGUUUGGCACCUCGAUGUCGGCUCAUCGCAUCCUGGGGCGGUAGUACGUCCCAAGGGUUGGGCUGUUCGCCCAUGAAAGCGGUACGCGAGCUGGGUUCAGAACGUCGUGAGACAGUUCGGUCCAUAUCCGGUGUAGGCGUUAGAAUAUUGAGAGGAGCCUUCUCUAGUACGAGAGGACCGAGAAGGACAUACCUCUGGUGUACCAGUUAUCGUGCCAACGGUAAACGCUGGGUAGCUAUGUAUGGAGAGGAUAACCGCUGAAAGCAUCUAAGUGGGAAGCCCACCUC